AGGGUUCGAUUCUGGCUCAGGAUGAACGCUGGCGGCGUGCUUAACACAUGCAAGUCGAACGAAGCACUUCCGCAUGAGACUUCGGUGGAAUGAGGGAGUGACUGAGUGGCGGACGGGUGAGUAACGCGUGGGCAACCUGCCUUACACAGGGGGAUAACAGUUAGAAAUGACUGCUAAUACCGCAUAAGCGCACGGUACCGCAUGGUACAGUGUGAAAAACUCCGGUGGUGUAAGAUGGGCCCGCGUUGGAUUAGGUAGUUGGUGGGGUAACGGCCUACCAAGCCGACGAUCCAUAGCCGGCCUGAGAGGGCGACCGGCCACAUUGGGACUGAGACACGGCCCAA
Molecule: ribosomal RNA, 344 nt
Filed under: uncultured bacterium
Lineage: Bacteria
Description: bacterial SSU rRNA
Rfam family: Bacterial small subunit ribosomal RNA
Source: RNAcentral